Kibdelosporangium phytohabitans is the source of this 83-nucleotide transfer RNA. It matches the Rfam family "tRNA". Rfam says of the family: Transfer RNA (tRNA) molecules are approximately 80 nucleotides in length. Lineage: Bacteria; Bacillati; Actinomycetota; Actinomycetes; Pseudonocardiales; Pseudonocardiaceae. The record is from Rfam.
GCCCCUGUGGCGGAAUGGCAGACGCACGCGACUCAAAAUCGCGGGCCCGUCAGGGCGUGCAGGUUCGAGUCCUGCCAGGGGUA